UUCCGGUUGAUCCCGCCGGACCUGACUGCUAUCGGAUUGAUACUAAGCCAUGCGAGUCUUUGUAGUAAUACAAGGCAGACGGCUCAGUAACACGUAGUCAACCUACCCUAUGGACAAGAAUAAUCUCGGGAAACUGGGCAUAAUUCUUGAUAGAUCAUAAUGCCUGGAAUGGUUUAUGGUUAAAAUGAUUCGUCGCCAUAGGAUGGGACUGCGGCCUAUCAGCUUGUUGGUGAGGUAAUGGCCCACCAAGGCGAUUACAGGUACGGGCUCUGAGAGGAGAAGCCCGGAGAUGGGUACUGAGACACGGACCCAGGCCCUAUGGGGCGCAGCAGGCGAGAAAACUUUGCAAUGUGCGAAAGCACGACAAGGUUAAUCCGAGUGAUUUCUGCUAAAGAAAUCUUUUGCCAGUCAUAAAACCACUGGUGAAUAAGGGGUGGGCAAGUUCUGGUGUCAGCCGCCGCGGUAAAACCAGCACCUCAAGUGGUCAGGAUGAUUAUUGGGCCUAAAGCAUCCGUAGCCGGCUUUGUAAGUUUUCGGUUAAAUCCAUGUGCUCAACGCAUGGGCUGCCGAAAAUACUGCAUGGCUAGGGAGUGGGAGAGGUAGACGGUACUCAGUAGGAAGGGGUAAAAUCCUUUGAUCUAUUGAUGACCACCUGUGGCGAAGGCGGUCUACCAGAACACGUUCGACGGUGAGGGAUGAAAGCUGGGGGAGCAAACCGGAUUAGAUACCCGGGUAGUCCCAGCUGUAAACGAUGCAGACUCGAUGAUGCAUUGGCAUAAUAGCCAGUGCAGUGUCGCAGGGAAGCCGUUAAGUCUGCCGCCUGGGAAGUACGUACGCAAGUAUGAAACUUAAAGGAAUUGGCGGGGGAGCACCACAAGGGGUGAAGCCUGCGGUUCAAUUGGAUUCAACGCCGGG
Molecule: ribosomal RNA, 915 nt
Filed under: uncultured marine archaeon
Lineage: Archaea
Also listed under: 1 other name
Description: bacterial SSU rRNA
Rfam family: Archaeal small subunit ribosomal RNA
Source: RNAcentral